RNAcentral lists this transfer RNA (71 nucleotides) under Camelus bactrianus (Bactrian camel). It matches the Rfam family "tRNA". Rfam says of the family: Transfer RNA (tRNA) molecules are approximately 80 nucleotides in length. Their secondary structure includes four short double-helical elements and three loops (D, anti-codon, and T loops). Lineage: Eukaryota; Metazoa; Chordata; Mammalia; Artiodactyla; Camelidae. RNAcentral also lists the same sequence under 2 other names. The record is from Rfam by way of RNAcentral.
AGGGUUAUAGCUCAGUGGUAGAGUGUGCGCUUAGCACGGCAAGGUCCUGGGUUCAAUCCCCAGUACCUCCA